GGGGACGUAAAGGUUUCGACGGGGGUGUGGAAACCGGAUAAGCGAGCCGCAGUUUGCUCAGUCUGCGUUAAAAAGGGCACGUUAAAUAUAAACGCUAAAAAUAACAAUUCAUUCGCAUUAGCAGCAUAGUUCUGCACCGCGUGUCAGCCCUUAUUUACCUGUAGGUAAGGAAUCUGGCAUCGAUUAUACAGGAAAACUCUGCAGGUGAUCCUGGCCCUGCAGGGGAAUUACAGGAUAGCUGACUCCUGGGUCUGCUGAUAGACACUUGAGGAGGCGAAUUGCAAAUUAUCAGCUGCGCUCGGAGAAAUUCUGGCGGAAAGGCUUUCGGACGCGGGUUCGACUCCCGCCGUUUCCACCA
This 358-nucleotide transfer-messenger RNA is filed under the name Anaerovoracaceae. Its description in RNAcentral is "UMGS973 sp016293805 Standard tmRNA". It matches the Rfam family "transfer-messenger RNA". From Rfam's summary of the family: Bacterial tmRNA, also known as 10Sa RNA or SsrA, is named for its dual tRNA and mRNA-like properties. Lineage: Bacteria; Bacillati; Bacillota; Clostridia; Peptostreptococcales. The record is from RNAcentral. RNAcentral also lists the same sequence under 4 other names.